This 3935-nucleotide long non-coding RNA is filed under the name Oreochromis niloticus (Nile tilapia). RNAcentral's name for it is "lncRNA (ENSONIG00000037815.1)". The record is from RNAcentral. Lineage: Eukaryota; Metazoa; Chordata; Actinopteri; Cichliformes; Cichlidae.
UUUAUGUUCCCCUUUGAUCAUAAAGCUGCAUCAGCAGUAUUUCAAAGUCACAAAGUCAAAUUUAAUCUGAAACUUUGUUCAUUCACAAUCACAACAUCAAAGAUGUUUCAUGAUGAAAUACUGCAUACAGGUAGAUUAAUGAUGUUGAUGUUUGUACACAUAUACAUUGUAUCAUCACAUCGCUAUCCUCAUUAGCAUGUUUUGGGUGUAACUGAACAAAUAUAAGGAAGUGAAAAAAGGGAACAACUAACUAAGCAGUUUUCUUAUAAUCUGACAGACGGAGUGAAGUGUCAGACGCUGUUCUUCUGAAGUUUAACAACUUUUCUCUCAGGAUCAAAACCAAAAUGAAAAUCCUCCAUUUUCUCUUCUUUGUUUUCUUGUCAGGUGAGGACUGAAUACCUCAUUGUCUCUUUCAUGCUGUUCUUUAUUUAUUUUAAUUUUUUAAGGGAACUUUAUAAAAUGCACAUAUUCACAUUUGAUAUUCAUCUUACUAUUAUUGUUAUUAUCUGACAGAUGCAGCUGUGCUUGUCAAGGCAAAGCUCAAUAUUUGGUCUGCAGCUGAAGGAGGAAAUGCUUCACUUUACUGCCACUUAACUUUACCUGGAAGCACAAAGUUCUUCUGUAAGGAAAAAUGUGAGCGAGCAGAAGAUAUCCUCAUUAAAACAGAUGGAAGCACAGCUCAGAGUGGGAGAUACAGCAUUAAUUAUAAAGAUGGAUCUUCAGGUAAAGGAAUUGUGUCUGUGACCUUCACACACAUGAUCAAGUCUGACUCAGGACUGUACAGGUGUGGUUUGGGAAAAUCUUCUGCUCCGGAUUCAUACUAUGACUUUGAGGUCAGAGUUUCAAAUGAUCUGGAUAAAAACUCUGGUUUUACUCGCACAGAAACUGAGGGAGAAGCAGUCACAUUGGGAUGUUCCAAUACUGUGUAUGGACAGAGGAAGUUCUUUUGUAAGAAUCAGUGUAAGAAUGAAGGGGAGAUCCUCAUUGACACAAGCAAUAACAAAGCUGUGAGUGGCAGAUACAGCAUUGAAUACACAGCAGGAUCUACAUUUGGACUGUAUGUGACCAUCACACAGCUGACCAAGUCAGACACAGGAGCCUACAGGUGUGGUUAUGGAAACCCUCUGUCUCCAGAUUCAUACUACAGUGGCAGUCUUGUUGUCAUUGGUUCAAAUCCACCUACUUCGACAUCACAAGCAACAACUAAAACAACACAAACACCACCAACAACAACAGCACAGAGUCAGAGUUUCACUCCAAGGAUUUCUACGUCUUCAUCAGAUUGUCCUGACUCCUCCUUGGGUCUGGCUGUGUGUGUGUCUCUGAUUGGUGUUUUACUGAUGGCUGUUUUCAUCCUGCUCCUCUACAUUUAUAAGACAAGGAGGAACACUGCACCGAACACCAGAGAAAAUGCAGGCAACAAAAACAUGGAGGUGAGUUUCUGUCACUUGUUUACUUUCUGUCUAUACAGGUUUAUGUGACCACUGAAACCUGACGAUUCAUGCAGUCAGUGUGAUGUUCACAAUGAAGUGUAGUGAAAAAGAAACAUUUUCCACUGAAUGACAGACAAAGUGACAGAAACAUGUUCUAUUCUUCUUUUAGUACUUCUUAUUGUUAUUAUGUUGGUUUUUCUGCAUGUGCAUGUUUUACUUCCCAGACAAACAUCAAGUCACCAACAUUUUAAAGGUGUCAUAUCUAAAUAUGUGAAAGCACAUUUAGUCCUGUCAGUAUUUUGCGCUGAAGCAAAACUGCUGUACUUCUCAUUUUUUACAGCAUGAAACUGAUAAUGCAUAAUGUGUUUGAAACCUCAGCUUUUAUGUUGCUUAUGUUUUAUUUUCAGUUAUCUGGCACAUAUGAGAACUGGGGUCCACCCUCCAAACAUAAAGGCAGUAAGGACCAGGAUCACGUCUACUCUGCAUUGUAAAAGGCACAAGUCUGAAAAUGCUAAAAUGCUAAUGUUCUGAUGCUUUUUUUUUCUCUUUGGGCAAGUUUAAGAUCUUAUAUAAAUUGCUUCACACACAUAUAAACAUAUAUAUGAAUUGAGCUUAUUUUUUACAGUUACUUUCUUUCUAGGUAUUCUUGACUUCUUUCUUUAUCCAUAAGUUUGACUGAAUGAAACAUUCAUGUACCACAUUUAAUAAUAAUGCAAAGUCUGCAAGUGUACUAAGAUUUGUUAUUGCUGGAGAUCAGGAAGAGUUUCUUAUGUUUCCCAUUUUUAUUGACAUAUUUAGCAUUUCACAUAUAUUUAGCAUGGUAGCAAAAAAGCUUCAGUAUGCAACCUUAGCUUUGUAACACUGAGAACAUGCUUAUUACGCUGCAUUAUAAACAAUUGAAAGAGAUCAGUGGAAACAUGUUUUAUUGGCAGAAACAGAAAACCAGAAGCUUUUUUCUAACAUGCAAUAAAUUGUUCAAAAGUUUGCACAAAAGAACACAAGAGGAAUAUCGUCUGGACAUCACAGAUUUGGUACAGCAGCGCUCUGUGGAACUGUAGAUAGUAUUAUAUUGCUAACAGGCCCCUGUGUAACUGCAGGAGCAAAUAAUUCUAACAAAAACAGCAUUACAGGAAAAGGUGCAGAAGUAGCAUUACAUGAGAGAGUGCAAAAGUGGAACACUAACCCGCCAUCUAACACAUCUUGAUAAGUAUAGAUCAAAAAGGAGAACUAGGAAGAGAGCUUGACGCGCUUAGACACCCCACAAACUCACACUCAUAGAAAAUGAGGCAAUGGCAGAGAAACAGAGACAGAGUGGAUGUGCAGAACCAUAAAAGGAGAGAUGAAUUGAUGUGUAAGACCAUAAAAGGAAAAGAUAAGAAUUUCAAAGGACAAGGGAGAUGUUUUGUUUGAAACUGAAUGAAUGGUGCAUGAACGCAGAGUACUGAAUGAGGAACUACAAAGAAGUAUAAAUGUAACAAACUGAGGGAGCGCCCCUCGGAUCAGCAGGAGGCUUUUGCGCUGUGCACAUCCCCCGUGUACAUGGAAGAUUAAAGAAGCUGCUGAACUGAAAAGUCUGUCUUGAGUCUUGUGUUUUGUUUUUUUUACCAGGUCAGAAUCCAAGUAUCGGGGUGACAGCUGGUCGCCAACAGGUCCCCAAGUCGUUUGGUACCGGGCUGCGAGAGUUGAGGCUCGGGUGUGGAAUUUAUGGUUUUCAGGGUUUUUAUCGUUAACUCGGUUUCUCUGGGUCUUUUCCCAUGUUGUAGUUGUGUCUUAUUUUGAAAGAAAUAUUUACACAUUACCAGUGGCGGUCCUAGCCUGUUUGGCACCCUGGGCGAACACUCCUCCCCCCCCCCCCCCCCCCCCCCACACACACACACACACACGAAACGUAUUAAGGAUUGUACAUUAACAUAAAACUGUUGUCGGAACCAUACUGAAUUUCACCAGAGAAAAAUGCGCACACACACACGGAUAUGAAGAGAGAGUAUGCAUAGUAUGCAAACGGCCACCAAACAGCCAUCAUAAUGUGUCAUACAAUGAGAACAGAACAAAUCAACAAUUGACACUGACUAAUCAAUAUUAAAAUCUGUAACAUAGUGUAUUGUUUGGAGUUUAGUCUGUUACUGUUACUGUUUUUAACAUGUCUUCUUGGAGCAAGUGUAACCCACAUAAUUGUGUGGAUGCUGGCGGCAGCUGUUCUAAGACUGGGAGGCCCGGGUUCAAAUCCCACUUAUGGCAACAUUUCUUUCAUUUAACAGUUAAACUUUUUUUUAACUCUUUUCAACACAAAUUUCAGCUUUUUCAGCUGUUUUUAGCAAAAACCUCUUUUCAGCAGAAAUUCUGCUGAUUGAACUCUUUUCAGCAGAAUUUUCACCUCUUUUCAGCCCAAAUUCUGCUUAUUCACCUCUUCUGCAAAAUUUUCAGCCUUUUCACCUCUUAUUAGCACAAAUCUCAGCUGUUUUCAGGAAAAACUCUUUUCAGCAGAAAUUCUGCUGAUUCACC